RNAcentral lists this ribosomal RNA (253 nucleotides) under uncultured bacterium. RNAcentral describes it as "partial 16S ribosomal RNA". It matches the Rfam family "Bacterial small subunit ribosomal RNA", at positions 524 to 776 of the family's 1533-position model. The record is from RNAcentral.
GACGUAGGGGGCCAGCGUUGUUCGGAUUCAUUGGGCGUAAAGGGUGCGUAGGUGGCGAGGUUAGUCAGGUGUGAAAUCUCGGGGCUCAACCCCGAAACUGCACUUGAUACUGCCUUGCUAGAGUACUGGAGAGGAGAUUGGAAUUUACGGUGUAGCAGUGAAAUGCGUAGAUAUCGUAAGGAAGACCAGUGGCGAAGGCGAAUCUCUGGACAGUCACUGACACUGAGGCACGAAGGCCAGGGGAGCAAACGGG